UUUGGCAUACAGCAAGCAAGAUGAUC
This 26-nucleotide non-coding RNA is filed under the name Rattus norvegicus (Norway rat). Lineage: Eukaryota; Metazoa; Chordata; Mammalia; Rodentia; Muridae. The record is from RNAcentral.